RNAcentral lists this ribosomal RNA (447 nucleotides) under uncultured bacterium. Its description in RNAcentral is "bacterial SSU rRNA". It matches the Rfam family "Bacterial small subunit ribosomal RNA", at positions 328 to 792 of the family's 1533-position model. The record is from RNAcentral.
GCACCAGACUCCUACGGGAGGCAGCAGUGGGGAAUAUUGCACAAUGGGGGAAACCCUGAUGCAGCGACGCCGCGUGAGCGAUGAAGUAUUUCGGUAUGUAAAGCUCUAUCAGCAGGGAAGAAGAUGACGGUACCUGACUAAGAAGCCCCGGCUAACUACGUGCCGGCAGCCGCGGUAAUACGUAGGGGGCAAGCGUUAUCCGGAUUUACUGGGUGUAAAGGGAGCGUAGACGGCGAUGCAAGCCAGAUGUGAAAGCCCGGGGCUCAACCCCGGGACUGCAUUUGGAACUGUGUGGCUGGAGUGCAGGAGAGGUAAGCGGAAUUCCUAGUGUAGCGGUGAAAUGCGUAGAUAUUAGGAGGAACACCAGUGGCGAAGGCGGCUUACUGGACUGUAACUGACGUUGAGGCUCGAAAGCGUGGGGAGCAAACAGGAUUAGAUACCCGCGUA